RNAcentral lists this ribosomal RNA (542 nucleotides) under Oenanthe schalowi (Schalow's wheatear). Its description in RNAcentral is "partial 16S ribosomal RNA". It matches the Rfam family "Bacterial large subunit ribosomal RNA", at positions 1848 to 2597 of the family's 2925-position model. The record is from RNAcentral. Lineage: Eukaryota; Metazoa; Chordata; Aves; Passeriformes; Muscicapidae.
GAAGGUGAUGCCUGCCCGGUGACCCAACGUUUAACGGCCGCGGUAUCCUAACCGUGCAAAGGUAGCGCAAUCAAUUGUCCCAUAAAUCGAGACCAGUAUGAAUGGCUAAACGAGGUCUUAACUGUCUCUUGCAGGCAAUCGGUGAAAUUGAUCUCCCUGUGCAAAAGCAGGGAUAAACCCAUAAGACGAGAAGACCCUGUGGAACUUUAAAAACAGCAGCCACCCCAAAUAACAUAACCCCCCACUGGGCUCACUUACACAUAAGCCACUGGCCUGCAUUUUUUCGGUUGGGGCGACCUUGGAGAAAAACAAAUCCUCCAAAAAUUAGACCAUACCUCUAGACUAAGAGCAACCCCUCAACGUGCUAAUAGCACCCAGACCCAAUAUAAUUGAUCAAUGGACCAAGCUACCCCAGGGAUAACAGCGCAAUCUCCUUUAAGAGUCCAUAUCGACAAGGAGGUUUACGACCUCGAUGUUGGAUCAGGACAUCCUAGUGGUGCAGAAGCUACUAAGGGUUCGUUUGUUCAACGAUUAACAGUCCU